CGAGAGGACCGGAGUGAACGCACCACUGGUGUACGGGUUGUGAUGCCAAUUGCAUUGCCCGGUAGCUAAGUGCGGAAGAGAUAACCGCUGAAAGCAUCUAAGCGGGAAACUUGCCUCGAGAUGAGUCUUCCCUGGACACUAGAUAUCCCUGAAGGGCCGUUGAAGACGACGACGUAGAUAGGCUGGGUGUGUAAGCGUAGCGAUACGUUGAGCUGACCAGUACUAAUGACCCGAGAGGCUUAACCUUACAACACCGAAGGUGUUU
This 265-nucleotide ribosomal RNA is filed under the name Pectobacterium brasiliense. Its description in RNAcentral is "Pectobacterium carotovorum subsp. brasiliense partial 23S ribosomal RNA". It matches the Rfam family "Bacterial large subunit ribosomal RNA", at positions 2684 to 2925 of the family's 2925-position model. Lineage: Bacteria; Pseudomonadati; Pseudomonadota; Gammaproteobacteria; Enterobacterales; Pectobacteriaceae. The record is from RNAcentral.